Molecule: long non-coding RNA, 224 nt
Filed under: Elaeis guineensis (African oil palm)
Lineage: Eukaryota; Viridiplantae; Streptophyta; Magnoliopsida; Arecales; Arecaceae
Description: long non-coding RNA (EGUI_LNC026471)
Source: RNAcentral
CAUGCAACAGAGAAAUGGCUACAAAGAGAUGAGAAAUUAGCUAUGGUUGUGUCCUAUAUGGCACACAAGUAGAAUUUUAUCAAUCAUUUGGUGAGCAAAUGCCCCCAUUGCUUGAAGUCUUUGGAACCUUAUCAAAGAGCAAUUGAAUUUGAGAGGUCAAUCUACAUAACUUUUGGACUAAUUGAAGGGGUAAAAAACUCUAAUGUUUACUGAGAAAGGCGGGG